GUGUUCACUUUGACAGCACAUAUACAAAAAUUGGAACUAUACAGAGAAGAUUAGCAUGGCCCCUGUGCAGGAUGACAUACAAAUUUGUGAAGCAUUCUACAUUUUU
Small nuclear RNA from Chlorocebus sabaeus (green monkey), 106 nucleotides. The record is from Ensembl. Lineage: Eukaryota; Metazoa; Chordata; Mammalia; Primates; Cercopithecidae.